This 79-nucleotide transfer RNA is filed under the name Candidatus Bathyarchaeota archaeon. RNAcentral describes it as "tRNA-Asp". It matches the Rfam family "tRNA". From Rfam's summary of the family: Transfer RNA (tRNA) molecules are approximately 80 nucleotides in length. The record is from RNAcentral. Lineage: Archaea; Thermoproteati; Candidatus Bathyarchaeota.
GGGCCCGUAGCCCAGAUCGGAUUAAGGCGCCGAGCUGUCUAGCCGGAGAUCCGGGGUUCAAAUCCCCGCGGGCCCGCCA